CAGUAGCCGCGGUAAUACAGAGGGUGCAAGCGUUAAUCGGAAUUACUGGGCGUAAAGCGCGCGUAGGUGGUUUGUUAAGUUGGAUGUGAAAGCCCCGGGCUCAACCUGGGAACUGCAUCCAAAACUGGCAAGCUAGAGUACGGUAGAGGGUGGUGGAAUUUCCUGUGUAGCGGUGAAAUGCGUAGAUAUAGGAAGGAACACCAGUGGCGAAGGCGACCACCUGGACUGAUACUGACACUGAGGUGCGAAAGCGUGGGGAGCAAACAGGAUUAGAUACCUCGGUAGUCCCUGUCUCUUAUAC
RNAcentral lists this ribosomal RNA (301 nucleotides) under uncultured bacterium. Its description in RNAcentral is "partial 16S ribosomal RNA". It matches the Rfam family "Bacterial small subunit ribosomal RNA", at positions 509 to 807 of the family's 1533-position model. The record is from RNAcentral.